CAAUGUGAGGGUGAUCUGGCUGUGACAUCUUUCACACCAUUGAUUGCCAGGGUUGAUUCAGCUGAUCUGACUGGCUAGGCAGUGUCCCCUUCUUCCCUCAAUGCUCCAUGUGAGUCUCUCCUAAAGCUCCACCCUCAGUAAAAGACGAUGACCACCGCCAGUAGAGAAGGAUCAUUUCUCUGUCAAGGAUGUAGGAGUAGCUGUGCUCCCCUUCUGGAAUCUCCAAACAAGCUCUUAGAGUCCACAUUUAUGUCUGUGGUUGAGUGCUCCCUCCUGAAUUCCAAAGUUUAUAUCCAAGUGCUUACUAGAUGUGCAGAUGUGGAUGCCUAAGCAUUU
Molecule: small nuclear RNA, 336 nt
Filed under: Chinchilla lanigera (long-tailed chinchilla)
Lineage: Eukaryota; Metazoa; Chordata; Mammalia; Rodentia; Chinchillidae
Description: 7SK RNA (ENSCLAG00000021531.1)
Rfam family: 7SK RNA
About the family: 7SK was discovered as an abundant small nuclear RNA in the mid-70s but a possible function has only recently been suggested. Two independent studies have found that 7SK RNA binds the CDK9/cyclin T complex (known as elongation factor P-TEFb).
Source: RNAcentral